Molecule: RNA transcript, 5815 nt
Organism: Brassica napus (rape)
Lineage: Eukaryota; Viridiplantae; Streptophyta; Magnoliopsida; Brassicales; Brassicaceae
Exons: 3
Source: RefSeq, a predicted model, not a curated record
GGAAAUGAACACACACGGAUGCACUCCUCUCAUAUGAUAUUUUCCUUCAAACAACUUAUAAUUUGAUAUAUUUCAAAUUAAGUUGAGGGAAAAUUAAUCAUUAAACAUGGCAAAAAUCUCCUUUGUACUUCUCGUCGUCGCCCUUAUUGUCUUUCUAUAUGUAUCUGAGGCUCAUCGUUCGAUAAAUUCCAACGAACUAGUACUUGAAAACAACCUGAAUAAAGCUAAGGGCUUGAUCGAAGAAGACUUGAAGAAAAAGGAAAAGAACAUUAAGAAGUUGGAAACCGAUGUGAGUAUAUUAAGCAAAUCUGAGAUAAUUCUGAAGGAUCUCGAAGAAGCUUACAAAAAUGGUAAGAGUAUAGAGCCUUUCAGGAAAGAUAUCAAGAGACUCAACAAAGAGGUCAAGCAGGGGCCAGAGGAACUGAGAUACGUAACCAUAAUUAAAUGCAUUUUGAAGGAUUUGGGAUUAAACGGAGGGGAAUGUUAAAACAAGAAUUAGGGUUUGAUAAUUGUUUCGAUGCGUUUAAAGGAGGUUUCAAAAUGCCCCAUGGAGUUUGGCUUUACAAAUGAGAGGAGUAAAUAAUUUGCUCAGAGUAUUUAUUUAGCUAAUUGCUCAAUUGAAUAAUAAAUCAAUUGUAUUAUUAAACGAAAUACAUUACAUAUAAUCAAUCUACUAGAUAGUAACCCGCGCAAAGAUGUCUAUAUUAAUGUUGAAAUUAUAUAUUAUGAUUAUGUAUAACAUAAGAUAUACUUUAAGCGAUAGUUAGAUAGAACUAAAGGUAUGAUUGUUAUAAGGGGCGAAGCCAGAAACUUUUUUAUAAUGAGUUCACUAAUAUUAAAAUUUAAAAUAUGGUGUUUGCAAGUUUGGGAAGAAGAAGUUUUGGAAUUUUUUUUUUUUAUAUUUUGCCUAUCACGUUGUAGUAGUUAUGGACUUAAGGGAUUAACACAUAAAAUCAAAAAAAAGUAGAUUAAUAACAUAUUAUAAGCAAAACAAUAAUUGUGUGAAAAAAAAAAGUACAACUCCUUUAAAUUCAGUAAACAAAGUUGUAUAAUAAAAUAAAUUGAAGGUUAUUUGACCCUCUAAAUUGUAAAGGUUGUUCUAGUUGCGACCAACACGUGAGAUUUGCUGGUGGUUCGUUCCUGGAAGUUUCUUCUCAUCUUCAAGGUCAUCUAAUGUAGAGCUCUCAUGGCAGCGAAGGCGGUGAAACUCGCAUGCUUAUAUUGCUUACUCGAGAAGACUAAUACACUAAGCCGAGACGAUUUACAGUGAUUCAAUUUCCUCGAAACAGAGACCACCUCAUCGAGCAGUAACAAAACCAAAUAUGACACAUUUGAGAAAUAGUUUUCAACGUCCUCUUUCAGCAAUGAGAGGCAGUUCUAAAGAACGUGAGUGCUCUGCUAAAUGCAUGAAAGCAUGUACGGAGAAAAGGGUUCUUUCAUUAACACUUGGCAUCAUACUAAAGUUUCAUCGUUUUGUUGUCUCUACGGAUCUGUCGAUUUAAUGGUGAUAGAUCAGAUGGGUUAUCGUUUUUAACAGAAACGUAUAGAGGAAUAAUGAAUAUUUAUUGAUGCUAUGAUUAUAUUGAGAGGAUUGAUAAAUCAACUAAUCGAACUUGAAACUGAAGGUUUAUCACGUAAAAGUGUUCGUCGAGAAAAAUAUAGAUGAUAUAAAGUUCUUUUAAAUGAAUGUUAAUGUGAACGCAUUAAAUUCACAGUUUUGGUGAGAAACGUUCUCUGCGUGACACGUAAGCGUUUUACUAGAUAAAAGCUUCUCGUGAAGCCACGUCACCACAUCACAUUCCUUGCCAAUAAAUUUUUAAGGGAAGUUUUAAAAGUGCUUUUCCUUUAAUAUAUAGGAGAUAUGUCUUAUUAAAAUAGAAAUACACUUUAAAAUUAACCCUUAGACUUACAAAAUAUUUACAACCCAAUGCCACUGAAAUAACCAAAUAAACCUAUUUUCAAGUAAUUUUUGUCUUUUCCAAAAUUAAUGAAGUAAUAACUACUCAUAAUUCUAUGCUUUCUAUGUCUUUUUCAAAAUUAAUAAAAUAUUUCCUAAAUUAAAUUUAUCUUUUACCUUAUCUAUUUCAUAUUAAUAUUAUAAACAUUAAUGAAUACCAAUAAUAUACACAAAAUAUUUAUGUAACAAUAUAAGUUACAUUUUGUCUCAUUCUCCCCCACAAUUCACGUUACUCUUCUUUUAUUUUUGAACAUUUUUUUCUUCUUUACCAAUAUAACUAUAUUACUACAUACACCAUUAUACAAGUAAUUAUUUACCAACUUACCAUGUAUAUAAAAUAAUUUUAUUUGACAUUAUCAUAAAAUUUUGAUCCAAAAAAAAAAAAAUUGUAUAGAUGUAUAGAUCAUAUUCUAAAAAUGGUGGUAAUAUAAUUGACGGUUUACUAGACAAAAUAAAAUUAAACAAUAUAAACUAUAAAAUCAUUAUGCUUAUAAAUGUUAUUCUUUCCGUUUCGUUAUGUAAGUAGUUUUGCUUAAAACACGAAUAUUAAGAAACUUUAACAUUUUCUAAAACAGCAAUAAAAACGUUUUUUAUUUAUUGCAUACAUUUAUUCUGUCUGCAACAUUUAAUUAGAGAGAGAUUAUUGCUAGUAAUAAAAUUAAUAAAAGUUAAUACCAACAUUGUUAGUAAUAAAAUUAAUAAAAGUUAAUACCAACAAUCACACGUUUGAGUUUUUAAGAAAUUUUUUGCAACAUUUUGGAGCCGAGUGAAUAGGCCUGGGCAUUUUACCCGGACCCGAAGACCCGAACCGGAACCGACCCGAAAAUACAGGUUUGGGUCCGGGUCCGGGUCCAUGCUAAGUACCUAUUAGUGUUAUAGUUAAUAUAUCAUUUAUAAAUAACAUGUUAAUUCAUAAUUGUUCAUUUUCAUACUUUUUAUUUAAAAAAUUUGUUUGCUAUAUCUUAGACAUGGUUAGAUUUUUUAUAUAAUACCCAAUAUCAUGAUACGUUUUACGCUAAAAUGCUAAAAUAUAAAAUUAAGUACAAAUAUAAUUUACAUUUACAUUUACAUACACGACUACAUUUACAAAUAUAUCAUUAAAUACAAACAUAAAUUAAAUACUCGCGCAGAUCAAAGUCUAGUACUCCCUCUGUUUCUAAAUGUAAGAUGUUUUAAAGAAUUUUAAUGUUUCAAUAUAUAAGAUGUUUUCAUUUUCCUAGGUAACUUUUACUUUAUUAAAAACUGUGCAACCAAUCAUAUUUAAUAAUCUAUUUUGUAAUUGGUUGAAUAUCAUUAAUUUAUAGUUUUAAUGUUGUUUUCUAGACAAUUUUUUUUUUAAUAUGUGUAUUUUUAACUGAAUAUUAUAUAUUUAGAAACAGAUGGAGUAUCUAUCUAUCUAUAUAAAUAAAUGGGACUUUUCUCCCACCUCAGGCCGCCACGUCACCAAACAAGGAUAGGCGUUUUUGGACACGUGGCCUCUUCUUUCUUCGUGUGUUCUCGACUUUUUUUUAGCGGCAAAGGAAAGUGGGCCAUGGCCCGUAACGAGUGUUUAGUUGGCCGGAGGCCAAGAUAUGUCGUCACCAACAACAAAAUUAAAGCAAAAAAAAACAAAAAAAAAAACAAAGCUUCACCCUUUACACUUCCACGAUUCUUUUAAUGCUUCCAAAACUCUACCAUCAAUUGUAACGCAUGAUUUAACUCUUCAAAUUUUUUGUACCAUAUAUUUAUUGUUCAGAUCUACUCUUCAUCUCGACAUAAAUCUCUGCAAAAUUACCUCUUACUCAAAGUUCCAAUAGAUAGACAGCAGCCGCUAGGGCUAGAAAUCAUGAUAGGAAUCACGAGUUUUCUUUUGUAAUGGAGAUUCGGUUGCGAAAUUGAGAAAUCUCUCAACGAAGCUGCACAAUCUGAUGACUGAGGAACUUUGAGAUGGUGCGUCUAGACGACGAUGAUGGAGCAAAUCAAAACUUACAUAGUGAAAACAGAUUGGCUUUCACAGUAAGCAUGUGGAUUUCAGACAUGUGGUAGAAUUUUAGCUGUGGGAAAUUCAAUCGAAAAGAUCAGAUAUCUAGAAAGUCCCCAAAGGCAGCUGUUGUCGCAGAUUGUGAACUCAUCUCUUAUAAAAGCAUACUUCCAACACAUUCCAUGUCCUUUUGUACCUUUGGUAUCUUCCACCAUAAUUAUUUGGUGAUUGCGUAUGUUUUUGGCUUUUUGAUUCAAGAAGGAACAGAGACAAUGCUUCUCCAAGGUUCCAUCUUUGUUCAUCGCCUUAACACUUUUAAACACAUGCUGAAAGAGGGAGCUGUUUACAAGCUCAGUAGGUUUGAUGUUACCUGAUGAAGGUAACUGAACUGAUACCAUUUUAUCUUUGCAUAAUCAGUGAAUAAAACUGGUGUCUCAGACACUACUCUUAUUGACUUUCAAGAGGUAAGAAACUAUCUUUUACAUUGCUUCUUCCAUGUUCUUACUUACCCUCAAAAUGAUUUUAGGGAAACUCUAUCCUCUAGCUUCAUCAAGACCGUUUGAAUCUACUGCUUGCUUUAUAGCCAAAGAAUAUGAUGUUAACAGAGAGCAAGUCUAGAAACUCAUUAGGCAAUAUCUUGGGGUUGAGGAUGCACCCAGUAAAUCUUUUGUUUUUGUAUUUUGAUUGAUAUUCUUCAAUAGAUUUCUCUCGAUGAACGAGCGCUCUUUAGGUGACGAUGGAGAGGCUCAUUCUACAUAAUGAGGCUUUAUCUAUUGUUUACUAUCGCAUUGAGUGGAAUAUGAGACAUGCUCUGAAGCCUACAUAUGAAACUCUCUUUGAGAUGUUAAAAUACUCAUCCUGGAGGGUUGCAUUUUUUUGUCCAUCCUAUGUGUUCACCUUCAUUAGUCAUACUACAGAUGUGGCUUAGUCCUGCUUCUUUAAAGCUUGAUCAAAUCACUUGGGAUGAUCAUGAUUGCUUGCUUGAGAAAACUGUUGCUAAUGAGAUAUGUGAAAGUAUUUUCUAUUACAAUAAUAUCCAAAACAACUUCGGUUUUUUAUCUAACAUUCUCUUAUUUAUAAAGCGGUGCAACAAAUCAGCAACAUCUUCGAUCUUAAAAAAUAUUUGGAAUAGGGCCUCUAUGCUUUGGUUAUUAUCAUCCAUCUAUUCAUGGUUAGUUUUAUACACAUGUUUCUUUGAUCGUCACCAGCUUAUACCUACUGCAACUUUUGCAUUACGUGUUUACCAAUUCUUUCAUAUACUAUGUACUUCUCCUUUUAACAUACAGUCUAACAUCUUAUAAUGCGUUUGGACAGGGCGGGGACAACAACCUAGGUGACGAUACGCCAGGAGCCUCAUGUGUGUCCUGCAUCUGCUCAAAAAAUCACAAGCUUUCUGCAACUGAUCAGGCCACCGGCAGUGGUGUUUUGAAACCAAACCGCAAUCUGCCUUGGUUGCAUGCAUCCCCAAUGCUUUAAGCUAGUUUUAUCUUCCUCUCUGGCUCCAGCUGAUGAUCCUCAUCAUCAGAUUGAUGAUCCUCUUGCACGUUCAUUAACGACAUGAUCUGUUCAUCAUGUAGUUUCCUCCUCCUAUAUAGACAACAAAAUUUAUGUACGACUUUAACUAUGUAUCAAUGGAGAGAGAAAGUGAGAGAUUAGAACCGUUGAAGAGAUGAUUAGGAGGACAAGAAGGGAGUUGAUCAUGACUACUGUCUUCAUGGAGUUGUUGGAACAUAAAACCAUUUUGAGGAAACGCCAUCUCCAAUCUCAAUCCUGCGGCUGCGUCCGUGGUCGGAUCAAAUACAUACAUGUAUAUUCAAAUUACCUCCACCAAUGAUAUAGUUCACUGAUAUAUAUAUCUAGAUUGUGAAGUUACUACCUAGUGAUGAUCAAAUGCUUAA